Molecule: non-coding RNA, 115 nt
Organism: Triticum urartu
Lineage: Eukaryota; Viridiplantae; Streptophyta; Magnoliopsida; Poales; Poaceae
Source: Rfam
CUACUACUCCCUCCGUUCCGAAUUACUUGUCGUAGGUAUGGAUGUAUCUAGAUGUAUUUUAAUUCUAGAUACAUCCAUUUCUGCGAUGAGUAAUUUGUAACGGAGGGAGUAGCUU